This 492-nucleotide ribosomal RNA is filed under the name uncultured bacterium. Its description in RNAcentral is "partial 16S ribosomal RNA". It matches the Rfam family "Bacterial small subunit ribosomal RNA", at positions 29 to 507 of the family's 1533-position model. The record is from RNAcentral.
AGUGAACGCUGGCGGUAGGACUAACACAUGCAAGUCGAACGGAAGCACAGUAAGAGCUUGCUCUUACGGGUGGCGAGUGGCGGACGGGUGAGGAAUACAUCGGAAUCUACUUUUUCGUGGGGGAUAACGUAGGGAAACUUACGCUAAUACCGCAUACGACCUACGGGUGAAAGCAGGGGAUCUUCGGACCUUGCGCGAUUGAAUGAGCCGAUGUCGGAUUAGCUAGUUGGCGGGGUAAAGGCCCACCAAGGCGACGAUCCGUAGCUGGUCUGAGAGGAUGAUCAGCCACACUGGAACUGAGACACGGUCCAGACUCCUACGGGAGGCAGCAGUGGGGAUUAUUGGACAAUGGGCGCAAGCCUGAUCCAGCCAUACCGCGUGGGUGAAGAAGGCCUUCGGGUUGUAAAGCCCUUUUGUUGGGAAAGAAAAGCAGCAGGUUAAUACCCCGCUGUUCUGACGGUACCCAAAGAAUAAGCACCGGCUAACUUCGUG